Molecule: ribosomal RNA, 253 nt
Filed under: uncultured bacterium
Lineage: Bacteria
Description: partial 16S ribosomal RNA
Rfam family: Bacterial small subunit ribosomal RNA
Source: RNAcentral
UACGUAGGGUGCAAGCGUUGUCCGGAAUUAUUGGGCGUAAAGAGCUCGUAGGCGGUCUGUCGCGUCGAAUGUGAAAACCCGGGGCUCAACCCCGGGCCUGCAUUCGAUACGGGCAGACUAGAGUUCGGUAGGGGAGUCUGGAAUUCCUGGCGUAGCGGUGAAAUGCGCAGAUAUCAGGAGGAACACCGGUGGCGAAGGCGGGACUCUGGGCCGAUACUGACGCUGAGGAGCGAAAGCGUGGGGAGCGAACAGG